GUCCGCUUUUUUAUGACUGCUGCAGACCUAUCGACGGGUCUGUUCCAGACCAGACCUGUGGACAAGUCUGCUUUUGACCAGUCCUGAGGACAGGUCUGCCCCAGACCAGACCUGUGGACAGGUCUGCUCCUGACCAGACCUGUGGACAGGUCUGCUUCUGACCAGACCUGUGGACAGGUCUGCUUCUGACCAGACCUGUGGACAAGUCUGCUAUUGACCAG
RNAcentral lists this long non-coding RNA (221 nucleotides) under Mytilus galloprovincialis (Mediterranean mussel). Lineage: Eukaryota; Metazoa; Mollusca; Bivalvia; Mytilida; Mytilidae. The record is from RNAcentral.